This 279-nucleotide ribosomal RNA is filed under the name Triticum aestivum (bread wheat). RNAcentral describes it as "partial small subunit ribosomal RNA". The record is from RNAcentral. Lineage: Eukaryota; Viridiplantae; Streptophyta; Magnoliopsida; Poales; Poaceae.
GAUGGAAGAAAUAAGAUGCAUUGGAGUUCUUGGGCAUGGCUGUCGGCUCCGAAAUCACUUGGUGGCAUGGGUUUCCGCGACAUGGUUUUGUUCAAUCAAGCUUUGCUGGGUAAGCAAGGGUGGAGGUUGCUAACUGAGCCCAAUUCUUUGUGUACCCACGUUCUGAAGGGUAGAUACUUCCCCAACUGCAGUUUUCUGAAUGCUCCUAUUCCACACACGGCUUCGGCCACUUGGCAUGGCAUUAUUCAUGGUCGUGACCUAUUGAAGAGGGGAGUAUAG